GAUUGAGGGGGGCUGCUCCUAGUACGAGAGGACCGGAGUGGACGCAUCACUGGUGUUCGGGUUGUCAUGCCAAUGGCACUGCCCGGUAGCUAAAUGCGGAAAAGAUAAGUGCUGAAAGCAUCUAAGCACGAAACUUGCCCCGAGAUGAGUCUUCCCUGAGACUUUGAGUCUCCUGAAGGAACGUUAAAGACGAUGACGUUGAUAGGCCGGGUGUGUAAGCGCAGCGAUGCGUUGAGCUAACCGGUACUAAUGAACCGUGAGGCUUAACCUUACAACGCCGAAG
This 283-nucleotide ribosomal RNA is filed under the name Salmonella enterica. RNAcentral describes it as "partial 23S ribosomal RNA". It matches the Rfam family "Bacterial large subunit ribosomal RNA", at positions 2660 to 2925 of the family's 2925-position model. The record is from RNAcentral. Lineage: Bacteria; Pseudomonadati; Pseudomonadota; Gammaproteobacteria; Enterobacterales; Enterobacteriaceae. RNAcentral also lists the same sequence under 5 other names.